This 4548-nucleotide long non-coding RNA is filed under the name Aquilegia coerulea. Its description in RNAcentral is "long non-coding RNA (ACOE_LNC000926)". Lineage: Eukaryota; Viridiplantae; Streptophyta; Magnoliopsida; Ranunculales; Ranunculaceae. The record is from RNAcentral.
AUUCAAUUCAACAAAUCUGUAAAUCCCUAAUUCAAAUCCCCAAUUCAAUUGUAAAUAAUCUGAUCCAUCAAAUUUUUUUCUCAUGGAUUAAUCAAUUGAUAUUGUCAAUUGAUGGUUACUUGUUGCACAUACAAAUUGAUUCACAGAUUUGCCAAAUAAAAAACAAGUAUGUAUUAAUAGAUUGAGGGAAUUCUCACAAGUAAGAACUCAAGAAUUUACAAAAUUUAACCAAAGAAUAAACAUUACAGCUCAUAAACUAUAUAACUACAGUUAAGACUUUAACAGAUGAUGGUCUCAAAGCAGUUCAAGCCAUCCAACUCAGGUGCAAAUCUUGGUCCUCUUCUCUGUUUCUGUUGCUGAGGUGGUUUACUAGCUUGUGCAGUUGGCUUUAAGUUGUUCUCGUUUUGAGUAUUCUUAACUUCAACUUUGUUAACAGUAGUAGUAGUAAAAGAAGAAGACUGGAAUCCAACCUUCUUAUGUAGGAAUAUUCGGCACAAAGAGCAUCAAAAGAACUAAAUAUCGAAUUCAUGAUUAUAAUCGCAAACAAAGACGAAAAAUAAAACUUUGCUUAUGAUGAAGAAGAUGAACAAGUUGAGAAAUUGUUGUAACUUGGUUUGAGUUGUUGUUGUUGUUGAAGCAAAGCAGCAAUCAGCUUGGGUUUUAUAGUGGAGAGAAUCCAACAUCUUUGUACCAUUCUUGAAAGAUACAGAUUUGUUGAAUUGAAUUGGGGAUUUGAAUUAGGGAUUUACAGAUUUGUUGAAUUGAAUUGUUCAAACAGAGAAGGAGUCAAUCACAUGAGAAACAUGUGCCUCAUUUUGAUGUGUUGGAAAUGUUGUUUAACUUUAUUUUAAAAGAAAAAAUACACGUAGAUAAAUAUUAGCCACGUCUGCAGUCCGUUAGCAUGUUUUAGACAGAUUGUAUAACGUGAAAAAAAUUUCAAAGUACAUUGAUGUUUUGACAUGAUUUUUUGUACAUUGUAUAAAGUGAAAAAAAAGUGAAAGUACGUUGUAUUUUUUGAUCAUUUUACCUUAUAUUAUUGGGUUGGGUUGAUAAGAUAUGUGUUUUUUCAAAGGUUUAAGAUUGAUGGGCUUAAGAUUUAUGAGCUAUAAAAAUUGGCCCAUGUUCAGUUUAAGUGUUUGCCUAAUCAUUUUAAAGGUUAUCAAACAGAGAAAUAGUGGCAAAACCAAGUUUUAAAGUGUUUGCCAGUGUUUGCCCGUGGAGUUAUCAAACACUUACAAAAUUUGUUUGCCUCAAAAUUUAUUUGCCUGAAGCCGGCAAAUCACCAUUUGCCUCAAAAUUUGCCGAAUUGCCGAAAACAUCAAUUUGCCAGGAAAAUUUAUCAAACGCACCCUUAGUUCAAAACUUUCAAAUAUAUAAUAUAUAGAGAGAGAGAGAAAUGGCGACAGCAGUUUUGGGGAAGAUGACGACGAUUCUUGUUUGAUUUCUAUCCUUUGAAGCUCAAGGUAUCUUCUUGCAUUGUUUUUCUUCCCCUUUGUUCAAAUUUUCCUUCAGUCUUGAUUGUGUGAAGCAAAAUAGCAUAUUUGUAGGUUUAGGGUUUAUACUAGUUGGUUAUUUUUCAAAAUGUUGUCGAUUCUUUUUGUUAGGUUUAGGGUUUGACAAAAUUUUGGGGUAGGAUAUAAAAUCCUUUUGUCAAUUUGUAAUCUUUCCUUUCACUUGGAUAUUACUUGGAUGCCAUUGAUUUAUUUCUCUUCAAGUCUUCAUUAAGGUUGUUUUGAAUAUUCCACUUUGUGCUCUUUUAGGAUUUAAUUUAAUGAACUAACACAAGAUUUUAGUGACAGUGAAAAUGUUAAGAAAAUGUUAGUGAAUCAAUUUUAUUGUUCGUUUUAUUAUAAUGUUGUUGUAUCCAUGUUGAAUGCUAAAAGUAUAUUUAUAUACUUGUGGUAUGAUUUCAAUCAGAAUGGCGUUUCUUACUUUACAUCGAACAAGUCCUUUGCAAUGGAACCUAUCUAUGGAUUCUCUGUGUGUGCAAAACUAANNNNNNNNNNNNNNNNNNNNNNNNNNNNNNNNNNNNNNNNNNNNNNNNNNNNNNNNNNNNNNNNNNNNNNNNNNNNNNNNNNNNNNNNNNNNNNNNNNNNNNNNNNNNNNNNNGUUAGGAUGCGUGUAAGGAGUUGAGGAGUGAAAUGAGAUUGAUAGACGAUUGUGCACUAGGCCAGGUUUUCAUUUUGAUGUCGACACUUGCAAGGUGCUAGCUGGAGAAAAAGCAUGGGCACAGUUGAAAAAAGACAAAAAAAAAAUAUGUGUAGUGUCAAGGGUAUGGUUUACCCAUUGCACACAGUUGUCCCGCCGCAUCUGGUUCCAAGUUCCAACGAUUGGUGGUGGCUACUGAUAUUGCGCACAAACCAUGAUUAUGUGUUUCAGUUAGCUAGUUUGGUUGUAUUUAAGGAAUAUCGGCACCAGUAUAUAUGUAAUGACAAUUGUAAGUUGUGGACAAAGUAGAAUUAAUUUGUAAUAUUAUUUCGCUAAUUAUGUUAUGUGUUGGGUUUCAAGAAUGAUUUAUAUUAUGAACUGUCUGCAGGUUGCGAACAAUUAUGUAGUAAGGUUAGACAUGUAAACGUGAUGAAAGGGUUUGACAUGUUUGUAUUUGGACAUGUUUGUAUUUGGACAUGUUUAUAAAUUUGCGUGUUAAUGUUUCUGGCUAAUAACCCUAAACCCUUUUCAUGUAUUAUUCAGUCUACGGUAACAACAACCACCACAAUUAUAAUACGGUCCACACUCCACACCAUACCUGUAAAGAUCAGGUACCAUUCUAAUGCUGAAAAUUCGAUGAAGUACAUUGGUGUGAUUUAACACAUGGAGAAUGAACAUUGGGGUGUGAUUUAACACAUGGAUAAAGAACGAAAGUAAUAAUAAAAUUAUACCAAUAGUCAAAUUAAAAUUAAGAACUAGUCAACACACAGCAUUGCUUGAAAUUUGGAAUCAGAAUACAUAUCAGAUGUGUCAAUGUCAAAUUCUUCUGAAAGGUAUGAAAAACAUAAAACGCAUUGUCACUUCUUCAAUCGUCUUUCAGACUCCAAUAAGUAGAACCAUUUGGUUCUCUGUGCAAAUACGCAUUGCCCAUAUCUGUAACGGCCAAAUCUGUACCUAUAAACAAACCCAAGAAAUAAUUGGUAUACCUUACUUAAAAAACUUACUUACGCAAAUUAAUCAUGGUUCAAACGCAAUUGUUCUAAGUAGUAAACUAUGACAGUCGUUCAAAUACAGUUGUUCAAAGUAGUAAACAAACUAUGACAGUCGUUCAAAUGCAGUUGUUCAAAGUAGUAAACUAUGACAGUCGUUCAAAUGCAGUUGUUCUAAGUAGUAAACUAUGACAGUCGAAACACACGGAAUUCUUACUUUGUUGUCUCAUCGGACAAGAAGCAGCAUUUUUCCUAUGACCCACAGUCUUGCACAAGCUGCAUGUGAAAGUCCUACGAACAUUUAAUUCUUUCUCCACAUCAGCAUCGACUCCCAUUGUUUCACCUGUCUCAGCCAUGUUAUCAACGGGGUCUGUUUCACCUACAUUUGUUGGGACACAUCAAACUAACAUACAAAAUAACAAGCCGCAAGGUUAAACAAGGUCAAGUCAGUAAUUCUACCUCUCGGAGAAUCCUGUUCAUGAUCAGUGACCUCAUCAUCACUAAGUAGACCUGCCCUUCCCCAAAAUGANNNNNNNNNNNNNNNNNNNNNNNNNNNNNNNNNNNNNNNNNNNNNNNNNNNNNNNNNNNNNNNNNNNNNNNNNNNNNNNNNNNNNNNNNNNNNNNNNNNNAUUUCCAACACAUCAAAAUGAGGCACAUGUUUCUCAUGUGAUUGACUCCUUCUCUAUUUGAACAAUUCAAUUCAACAAAUCUGUAAAUCCCUAAUUCAAAUCCCCAAUUCAAUUGUAAAUAAUCUGAUCCAUCAAAUUUUUUUCUCAUGGAUUAAUCAAUUGAUAUUGUCAAUUGAUGGUUACUUGUUGCACAUACAAAUUGAUUCACAGAUUUGCCAAAUAAAAAACAAGUAUGUAUUAAUAGAUUGAGGGAAUUCUCACAAGUAAGAACUCAAGAAUUUACAAAAUUUAACCAAAGAAUAAACAUUACAGCUCAUAAACUAUAUAACUACAGUUAAGACUUUAACAGAUGAUGGUCUCAAAGCAGUUCAAGCCAUCCAACUCAGGUGCAAAUCUUGGUCCUCUUCUCUGUUUCUGUUGCUGAGGUGGUUUACUAGCUUGUGCAGUUGGCUUUAAGUUGUUCUCGUUUUGAGUAUUCUUAACUUCAACUUUGUUAACAGUAGUAGUAGUAAAAGAAGAAGACUGGAAUCCAACCUUCUUAUGUAGGAAUAUUCGGCACAAAGAGCAUCAAAAGAACUAAAUAUCGAAUUCAUGAUUAUAAUCGCAAACAAAGACGAAAAAUAAAACUUUGCUUAUGAUGAAGAAGAUGAACAAGUUGAGAAAUUGUUGUAACUUGGUUUGAGUUGUUGUUGUUGUUGAAGCAAAGCAGCAAUCAGCUUGGGUUUUAUAGUGGAGAGAAUCCAACAUCUUUGUACCAUUCUUGAAAGAUACAGAUUUGUUGA